UAAUACGUAGGUGACAAGCGUUAUCCGGAAUUACUGGGCGUAAAGCGCACGCAGGCGGCUGAGUAAGUCUGACGUGAAAUCUCCCGGCUUAACCGGGAGCGGUCGUUGGAAACUACUUGGCUUGAGGCGAUGAGAGGGGUGUGGAAUUCCCGGUGUAGUGGUGGAAUGCGUAGAUAUCGGGAGGAACAUCAGUGGCGAAAGCGGCACCCUGGCAUUAGCCUGACGCUCAGGUGCGAAAGCGUGGGGAGCGAACGGG
Molecule: ribosomal RNA, 256 nt
Filed under: uncultured bacterium
Lineage: Bacteria
Description: partial 16S ribosomal RNA
Rfam family: Bacterial small subunit ribosomal RNA
Source: RNAcentral